RNAcentral lists this ribosomal RNA (882 nucleotides) under Dolicholatirus sp. MNHN IM 2009-29739. Its description in RNAcentral is "SSU rRNA". It matches the Rfam family "Eukaryotic small subunit ribosomal RNA", at positions 396 to 1277 of the family's 1831-position model. The record is from RNAcentral. Lineage: Eukaryota; Metazoa; Mollusca; Gastropoda; Neogastropoda; Fasciolariidae.
GCAUGAGAAACGGCUACCACAUCCAAGGAAGGCAGCAGGCGCGCAACUUACCCACUCCUGGCACGGGGAGGUAGUGACGAAAAAUAACAAUACGGAACUCUUUUGAGGCUCCGUAAUUGGAAUGAGUACACUUUAAACCCUUUAACGAGGAUCUAUUGGAGGGCAAGUCUGGUGCCAGCAGCCGCGGUAAUUCCAGCUCCAAUAGCGUAUACUAAAGUUGUUGCGAUUAAAAAGCUCGUAGUUGGAUCUCAGGCAUGGGCGCACGGUCCGCCUUGCGGCGGUCACUGUGUGUUUUGUUUCCCAUCCUACGCUUCCCGGUUGUUCAGCCCAUGGUGCUCUUCAUUGAGCGUUUUGGGUGGCCGGAACGUUUACUUUGAAGAAAUUAGAGUGUUCAAAGCAGGCACGUCGCCUGAAUAAUGGUGCAUGGAAUAAUGGAAUAGGACCUCGGUUCUAUUUUGCUGGUUUUCGGAACACGAGGUAAUGAUUAAGAGGGACAGACGGGGGCAUCCGUAUUGCGGUGUUAGAGGUGAAAUUCUUGGAUCAUCGCAAGACGAACGACUGCGAAAGCAUUUGCCAAGCAUGUUUUCAUUAGUCAAGAACGAAAGUCAGAGGUUCGAAGACGAUCAGAUACCGUCGUAGUUCUGACCAUAAACGAUGCCAACUAGCGAUUCGCUGGUGUUGCUUCAUCGACUCUGCGGGCAGCUUCCGGGAAACCAAAGUUUUCGGGUUCCGGGGGAAGUAUGGUUGCAAAGCUGAAACUUAAAGGAAUUGACGGAAGGGCACCACCAGGAGUGGAGCCUGCGGCUUAAUUUGACUCAACACGGGAAAACUCACCCKGUCCGGACACUGUAAGGANNGACAGAUUGAUAGCUCUUUCUUGAU